Molecule: ribosomal RNA, 911 nt
Filed under: Achromobacter sp.
Lineage: Bacteria; Pseudomonadati; Pseudomonadota; Betaproteobacteria; Burkholderiales; Alcaligenaceae
Description: bacterial LSU rRNA
Rfam family: Bacterial large subunit ribosomal RNA
Source: RNAcentral
CGAAAGUAGUGGCGAGCGAAAUCGGAUGAGCCUUUACGUUUUAGCACGCAGGAUAGUCGAACGGAAUGGAAAGUCCGGCCGUAGCAGGUGAUAGCCCUGUAGACGAAAUUCUGUGUGUGGAACUAAGCGUAAGACAAGUAGGGCGGGACACGUGAAAUCCUGUUUGAAGAUGGGGGGACCAUCCUCCAAGGCUAAAUACUCGUGAUCGACCGAUAGUGAACCAGUACCGUGAGGGAAAGGCGAAAAGAACCCCGGAAGGGGAGUGAAAUAGAUCCUGAAACCGUAUGCAUACAAACAGUAGGAGCCUCCUUGUGGGGUGACUGCGUACCUUUUGUAUAAUGGGUCAGCGACUUACAUUCAGUGGCAAGGUUAACCGAAUAGGGAAGCCGUAGCGAAAGCGAGUCCGAAUAGGGCGAUUUAGUCGCUGGGUGUAGACCCGAAACCAGAUGAUCUAUCCAUGGCCAGGUUGAAGGCACGGUAACACGUGCUGGAGGACCGAACCCACUAAUGUUGAAAAAUUAGGGGAUGAGCUGUGGAUAGGGGUGAAAGGCUAAACAAAUCUGGAAAUAGCUGGUUCUCUCCGAAAACUAUUUAGGUAGUGCCUCAAGUAUUACUGCGGGGGGUAGAGCACUGUUAUAGCUAGGGGGUCAUGGCGACUUACCAAACUAUGGCAAACUCCGAAUACCCGCAAGUACAGCUUGGGAGACAGAGCACCGGGUGCUAACGUCCGGACUCAAGAGGGAAACAACCCAGACCGCCAGCUAAGGUCCCGAAUUAUCGCUAAGUGGGAAACGAAGUGGGAAGGCAUAGACAGUCAGGAGGUUGGCUUAGAAGCAGCCAUCCUUUAAAGAAAGCGUAAUAGCUCACUGAUCGAGUCGUCCCUGCGCGGAAGAUGUAACGGGGCUUAAGCG